CGACCUCAGAUCAGGCGAGACUACCCAUUGAAUUUAAGCAUAUUACUAAGCGGAGGAAAAGAAACUAACAAGGAUUCCCCCAGUAGCGGCGAGCGAACAGGGAAGAGUCCAGCACCGAACCCCGCAGGCUGCCGCCUGUAGUGGCAUGUGGUGUUUGGGAGGGUCGACUACCCCGACGCCUCGCGCCGAGCCCAAGUCCAACUUGAAUGAGGCCACGACCCAUAGAGGGUGCCAGGCCCGUAGCGGCCGGGGCGAGCGUCGGCGGGACCUCACCUUCGAGUCGGGUUGCUUGAGAGUGCAGCUCCAAGUGUGUGGUAAACUCCAUCUGAGACUAAAUUGGACCACAAGACCGAUAGCGAACAAGUACCAUGAGGGAGAGUUGAAAAGAACUUUGAAGAAGGAGUUCAAUAGUACGUGAAACCGUUCUGGGGUAAACGUGAGAAGUCCGAAAGGUCGAACGGGUGAGAUUCACGCCCAUCCGGCCACUGGCCUCCACCCUCGGCAGAUGGGGCCGGCCGCCCGCGCGGAGCAAUCCGCGGCUGGGUCGUGUCCGCUUGCCUUUCCACUCGCCGCGGGGUGGGGCCGUUCCGGUGUGUGGUGGGCCGCACUUCUCCCCUAGUAGGACGUCGCGACCUGCUGGGUGCCGGCCUACGGCCCGGGUGCGCAGCCUGUCGUUCCGCGGGCCUCGUUUCGCGUCUGUUGGGCACAGCCUCGGUGUCCUGGCUGGCUGCCCGGCGGUAUAUCUGGAGGAGUCGAUUCACCCCUUUGGGCGCUCGGGCUCCCGGCAAGCGCGCGCGGUUCUCCCUGGAUGACAGACCUACCUGGCUCGGCCCCGGACCCGCGCCGCUGUUGGCUCGGGAUGCUCACUGGCGGAAUAAUCGCUCCUGUCAGCGGCGCUUCAGCUUUGGACAAUUUCACGACCCGUCUUGAAACACGGACCAAGGAGUCUAACAUGUGCGCGAAUCAUUGGGCUGUACAAAACCUAAAGGUGUAAUGAAAGUGAAUGUCUCGCCUUGCGCGGGCCGAGGGAGGAUGGGGCUUCCCCGCCCUUCACAGGGCGGCGGCCUCUGCACUCCCAGGGCGUCCCGUCCUCAUUGCGAGGUGAGGCGCACCUAGAGCGUACACGUUGGGACCCGAAAGAUGGUGAACUAUGCCUGGCCAGGACGAAGUCAGGGGAAACCCUGAUGGAGGCCCGUAGCGAUUCUGACGUGCAAAUCGAUCGUCGGAGCUGAUAUAGGGGCGAAAGACUAAUCGAACCAUCUAGUAGCUGGUUCCCUCCGAAGUUUCCCUCAGGAUAGCUGGUGCUCGUACGAGUCUCAUCCGGUAAAGCGAAUGUUUAGAGGCGUUGGGGCCGAAACGGCCAAAACCUAUUCUCAAACUUUAAAUGAGUGAGAUCUCCGGCAUGCUUGAUAUGCUGAAGCCGCGAGCAAACGACUCGGAUCGGAGUGCCAAGUGUGCCACUUUUGGUAAGCAGAACUGGCGCUGUGGGAUGAACCAAACGCCGAGUUAAGGCUCCAGAAUCGACGCUCAUGGGGAACCAUGAAAGGCGUUGGUUGCUUAAGACAGCAGGACGGCGGCCAUGGAAGUCGGAAUCCGCUUAGGAGUGUGUAACAACUCACCUGCCGAAGCAACUAGGCCUGAAAAUGGAUGGCGCUGAAGCGUCAUGCCUAUACUCGGCCGUCAGUCUAGCAGUCAUGGCCGGUCCUUGCGGGCGGCCGCGAAGCCCUGACGAGUAGGAGGGUCGCGGCGAUGGGCGCAGAAGGGUCUGGGCGUGAGCCUGCCUGGAGCCGCCGUCGGUGUAGAUCUUGGUGGUAGUAGCAAAUACUACAGCGAGGCCCUGGAGGGCUGACGCGGAGAAGGGUUUCGUGUGAACAGCCGUUGCACACGAGUCAGUCGAUCCUAAGCCCUAGGAGAAAUUCGAUGGUGAUGGGGGCCGUCAUAGCAUGAUGCACUUUGUGCUGGCCCCCGUUGGGCGAAAGGGAAUCCGGUUCCUAUUCCGGAACCCGGCAGCGGAACCGAUACAAGUCGGGCCCCUCUUUUAGAGAUGUUCGUCGGGGUAACCCAAAAGGACCGGGUGACGCCGUUGGGAGAUCGGGGAAGAGUUUUCUUUUCUGCAUGAGCGUUCGAGUUCCCUGGAAUCCUCUAGCAGGGAGAUAGGGAUUGGAACGCGAAGAGCACCGCAGUUGCGGCGGUGUCCCGAUCUUCCCCUCGGACCUUGAAAAUCCGGGAGAGGGCCACGUGGAGGUGUCACGCCGGUUCGUACCCAUAUCCACAGCAGGUGUCCAAGGUGAAGAGCCUCUAGUCGAUAGAAUAAUGUAGGUAAGGGAAGUCGGCAAAUUGGAUCCGUAACUUCGGGAUAAGGAUUGGCUCUGAGGAUCGGGGCGUAUCGGGCUUGGCCGGGAAGUGGGUCAGCGCUAACGUGCCGGGCCUGGGCGAGGUGAGUGCCGUAGGGGUGCCGGUAAGUGCGGGCGUUUAGCGCGGGCGUGGUCUGCUCUCGCCGUUGGUCGGCCUCGUGCUGGCCGGCGGUGCAGGAUGCGCGCUCCUGCUCGGGGUUCGCGCCCCGGUGCUUCAACCUGCGUGCAGGAUCCGAGCUCGGUCCCGUGCCUUGGCCUCCCACGGAUCUUCCUUGCUGCGAGGCCGCGUCCGCCUUACCGUGCUCCUCCAGGGGCGCGCGGGACCGCGGAUUCUCUUCGGCCGCCAUUCAACGAUCAACUCAGAACUGGCACGGACUGGGGGAAUCCGACUGUCUAAUUAAAACAAAGCAUUGCGAUGGCCGUAUCGUGUGUUGACGCAAUGUGAUUUCUGCCCAGUGCUCUGAAUGUCAACGUGAAGAAAUUCAAGCAGGGCACGGGUAAACGGCGUGAGUUAACUAUGACUCAUCUUAAAGUAGCCAAAUGCCUCAUCAUCUAAUUAGUGAUGCACAUGAAUGGAUUAACGAGAUUCCCGCUGUCUCUAUCUAUUAUCUAGCGAAACCACGGCCAAGGGAACGGGCUUGGAAAAAUUAGCGGGGAAAGAAGACCCUGUUGAGCUUGCCUCUAGUCUGGCACUGUGAGGUGACAUGAGAGGUGUAGCAUAAGUGGGAGAUGGCAACAUCGCCGGUGAAAUACCGCUACUUUCAUUGUUUUUUUACUUACUCGGUUAGGCGGAGCGCGUGCGUCGUGGUAUAACAACCCAGCGUCACGGUGUUCUCGAACCAAGCGUGUUAGGGUUGCGUUCGCUUCGCGGCUCCGUGUCCGUGCGCCACAGCGUGCGGUGCAUGUGGGUGCAAGCCUGCGCGUGCCGUGCGUCCCUUGUGCGUCGGCGCGUCCGCGUGUGCGGCGCAGUUUACUCCCUCGCGUGAUCCAAUUGAGGACACUGCCAGGUGGGGAGUUUGACUGGGGCGGUACAUCUGUCAAAGAAUAACGCAGGUGUCCUAAGGCCAGCUCAGCGAGGACAGAAACCUCGCGUAGAGCAAAAGGGCAAAAGCUGGCUUGAUCCCGAUGUUCAGUACGCAUAGGGACUGCGAAAGCACGGCCUAUCGAUCCUUUUGGCUUGGAGAGUUUCCAGCAAGAGGUGUCAGAAAAGUUACCACAGGGAUAACUGGCUUGUGGCGGCCAAACGUUCAUAGCGACGUCGCUUUUUGAUCCUUCGAUGUCGGUUCUUCCUAUCAUUGUGAAGCAGAAUUCGCCAAGCGUUGGAUUGUUCACCCACUAAUUGGGAACGAGAGCUGGGUUUAGACCGUCGUGAGACAGGUUAGUUUUACCCUAGUGAUGACUGUGUCGUUGCGAUAGUAAUCCUGCUCAGUACGAGAGGAACCGCAGUUUCGGACAUUUGGUUCACGCACUCGGCGGAGCGGCCGGUGGUGCGAAGCUACCAUCUGUGGGAUUAAGCCUGAACGCCUCUAAGGCCGAAUCCCGUCUAGCCAUUGUGGCAACGAUAUCGCUAAGGAUUCCCGAGGUUCGAGAGCCUCGAAAAUACGUGACUUCACUGGGCGCGGUCGACCCACGUGGCGCCGAGCCGUACGGGCCCAACUCGUUAGCUGGACGGGGCACUCGGGCGGCGCUGUCUGGGAUCUGUUCCCGGCGCCGCCCUGCCCCUACCGGUCGACCAUGGGUGUCUAUAUUUCGAUGUCGGGACUCGGAGUCGUCUGUAGACGACUUAGGUACCGGGCGGGGUGUUGUACUCGGUAGAGCAGUUGCCACGCAACGAUCUGUUGAGACUCAGUCCUAGCUUGUGGGAUUCGU
Ribosomal RNA from Schistocerca serialis cubense, 4223 nucleotides. NCBI's taxonomy places the organism in Eukaryota, Metazoa, Arthropoda, Insecta, Orthoptera, Acrididae. The record is from RefSeq and is a predicted model, not a curated record.